UGACUUUUCAUGAAUGCAAACAUUGGACCAGACUUGCCUGCUCAUCCGCCUUGCUCUUCCAGUGUGUUGCAUGCAAACUUCAACACUGCACACUUCAGGUCUCCUGCUGGUCUUCUCCCCUGGUUCAUGAGGUAAACUCACCAUACUGGAGCUCUUCACUCUAGAGGGCAUCAAGGACUGCAGAUUAAAAUGAAUUAAGUCUGAUCUUCUUGGAUACCAGCUUAAUGCAUGAAGAAAAACACAACGCAUUUGUGGAGUCUGAUCAGACCCAGACCUACAGGCCAGAGAGAAAGGAAAUUAAACUCUGGUGAUUUCUGGCAGUGAAGAUCCUCAUGCAAAAACAUCAGGAGUCCAGCUCAAAUCUAAUCAG
Long non-coding RNA from Oxyura jamaicensis (ruddy duck), 370 nucleotides. RefSeq lists it as uncharacterized. The record is from RefSeq and is a predicted model, not a curated record. NCBI's taxonomy places the organism in Eukaryota, Metazoa, Chordata, Aves, Anseriformes, Anatidae. The transcript has 2 exons.